Long non-coding RNA from Mytilus californianus (California mussel), 704 nucleotides. RefSeq lists it as uncharacterized. The record is from RefSeq and is a predicted model, not a curated record. NCBI's taxonomy places the organism in Eukaryota, Metazoa, Mollusca, Bivalvia, Mytilida, Mytilidae. The transcript has 4 exons.
UGUAAGUAGUUAAUAUAUAAAUAUUGGUUUAUUUAGAUCUAUCAGAGAACACAUUUACCAUACGAUAUGAUGACACACAGAAAGAUGCUGUUCCACCUAUCCCUUACGAUGGUGUCCCAUUUAUAAUCAGAGGGAAGAAAACAUUGGAAUGUCAUCAAGGCAAGGACAGGUCAAAGAAAAAAAAGGAAAGAGCACAGUUGCUCAGAAACAAAGAGACUGAUCAUGAUUACAGAAAGAAAAGAAAUCAUUUGCAGACAACCAAAAAGAAAAAUUGUCCAGCAAUGAUUAGAAUCAGACAUGUAAUGAAGUUUACAGACUUCAAGCUAGAAGAUAACACACGAUAUGGAAGGGAAAGACUGUCAGCUAAAAUCCACAAUGCAAUAGACAAAGAGGAUGAUGUAGCUGUGCAACAUGUUUACCUUAUCUCUGUUCCAGAUACCCACCAGAACCAUUUUACAGGAGAGAUAGGUAUGUUGAUACAACCACUUGAUGAAAGGAUAAAAAAAUAUAUAAGGAAAAUGGUGGCUGAAAGCAACAUUACUUCGUCAACUCAAAUGAAAUUGCUUCUUGAUGUUUACAUUAAAAAUGAUUUGUUUAAAGACCAACAACUACCAUCACCCAUAAAUAGUAGAUUCUGGCCAACCUUGAAAGUCAUCAGAAAUAAUAUUCUUCUUGGACUACUGGAAAUAAGAAACAGCAACGUU